GGNUUAGGCAUGCAAGUCGUACGUGAUCCUUGCUUCGGUGAGGUGAAAGUGGCGAAAGGGUGAGUAAUGCAUAGCUAACCUACCCCUGACCUUGGGAUAACCAGGAGAAAUCUUGGCUAAUACCAAAUAGGCUGGCUUGGUCGCAUGAUCGGGCUAGUAAAGAAGGCCUCUUAACAAUGCUUUCGGUUAGGGACGGAACUAUGUCCUAUCAGCUAGUUGGUAGGGUAAUGGCCUACCAAGGCGAUGACGGGUAGCCGACCUGAGAGGGUGACCGGCCACACUGGGACUGAGAACUGCCCAGACUCCUACGGGAGGCUGCAGUCGAGAAUCUUNCCGCAAUGGGGGCAACCCUGACGGAGCGACGCCGCGUGCGGGAUGAAGGCCUUCGGGUUGUAAACCGCUGUCACAGGUUAUGAAGGGUCUGGCGUUAAUAGCGCUAGACUUUGACAAAGGCCUGGAGAGGAAGCCACGGCUAACUUCGUGCCAGCAGCCGCGGUAAGACGAAGGUGGCGACCGUUGUUCGGAAUCACUGGGCAUAAAGAGCACGUAGGCG
This 553-nucleotide ribosomal RNA is filed under the name uncultured Planctomycetota bacterium. Its description in RNAcentral is "bacterial SSU rRNA". It matches the Rfam family "Bacterial small subunit ribosomal RNA", at positions 46 to 577 of the family's 1533-position model. Lineage: Bacteria; Pseudomonadati; Planctomycetota. The record is from RNAcentral.